RNAcentral lists this ribosomal RNA (491 nucleotides) under uncultured bacterium. Its description in RNAcentral is "partial 16S ribosomal RNA". It matches the Rfam family "Bacterial small subunit ribosomal RNA", at positions 29 to 507 of the family's 1533-position model. The record is from RNAcentral.
GUGAACGCUGGCGGUAGGCCUAACACAUGCAAGUCGAACGGCAGCACAGUAAGAGCUUGCUCUUACGGGUGGCGAGUGGCGGACGGGUGAGGAAUACAUCGGAAUCUACUUUUUCGUGGGGGAUAACGUAGGGAAACUUACGCUAAUACCGCAUACGACCUACGGGUGAAAGCAGGGGAUCUUCGGACCUUGCGCGAUUGAAUGAGCCGAUGUCGGAUUAGCUAGUUGGCGGGGUAAAGGCCCACCAAGGCGACGAUCCGUAGCUGGUCUGAGAGGAUGAUCAGCCACACUGGAACUGAGACACGGUCCAGACUCCUACGGGAGGCAGCAGUGGGGAAUAUUGGACAAUGGGCGCAAGCCUGAUCCAGCCAUACCGCGUGGGUGAGGAAGGCCUUCGGGCUGUAAAGCCCUUUUGUUGGGAAAGAAAAGCAGCAGGUUAAUACCCCGCUGUUCUGACGGUACCCAAAGAAUAAGCACCGGCUAACUUCGUG